GGCCUUGAUGGUUGAGGGCAGUUAGGGUCGGGAGAACCAGGGUAGCACGCGGGUUUUCUUGUGGUUGGCGGGGGCGUGGGUCGAGGGCACCUAGGGUCAUUGUUUCCUGGAUAACAGUUAGGGGGCGCUAGUGUGGUAGGUUUAGGGCAUCGUGGGUCAUUUGAGCCUGGGUAGCAUCUAGGAGCUUGAGUCGUAGGUGCUAAAGUUGUUGGUUUAGGACACCUAGGGUCUGUACUUCCAGGGAAGCAAUUAGGUGGAGCCUGGGUAGUUGGUCGAGGGCACCUAGGGUCAUUGUUUUCUGGAUAACAGUUAGGGGGCGCUUGUGUGGUGGGUUUAGGGCAUCGUGGGUCAUUUGAGCCUGGGUAACAUCUAGGCGCUUGACUCGUAGGUGCUAAAGUUGUUGGUCGAGGGCACCUAGGGUCUGUGCUUCCAGGGUAGCAAUUAGGUGGAGCCUGGGUAGUUGGUCUAGGACAUCUAGGGUCAUUAUUUCCUGGAUAGCAGUUAGGAGGUGGCUGGGUAGUUGGCUUAGGGCAUCUAGGGUCAUUCGAGCCUGGGUAACACCUUGGUGCUUGAGUGGAAGGUGGCAGGUAAGUAGGUGGCGUUAUAGUCGUAGGUUUUGGAGGUUGAGGGCAGUUAGGGUCAGGGGAUCCAGGGUAGCAUACUGGUUUUUGUGUAGUAGGUUUAGGGCAUCUUGGAUCUGUGCUUCCAGGAUAACACCUAGGUGGUGCUGGAGUAGUAGGUUUGGGGCAACGAGGAUCAUUUGAUCCAGGGAAGCAAUUAGGUGGUGCCGGAGUAGAUGGCCUUGGGCAUCUCGCAUCAGUGGAACCAGGGUAGCAUCUAGGUUUCUCCGGUUCAGGAGGUAAGUAUGUUGGAGGAGUUAGAGUUGUAGGUUUUGAUGGUUGUGGACAGUUAGGAUCGGGAGAACCUGGAUAGCAAUCAGGUUUAGGAGAAGUCGUCCUUGGACAACGUGGAUCCGUGUUUCCAGGGUAACAGUUUGGUGGGGCAGGAGUUGUUGGUCUCGGGCAACGUGGAUCCGUGGAUCCAGGGUAGCAAUUGGGACGGGAAGUGGUUGUAGGCACAGGGGUAGUCCUUGGACAACGUGGAUCCGUGUUUCCAGGGUAACAGUUUGGGGGUGCUGGUGUAGUUGGUCUUGGGCAACGUGGAUCUGUGGAUCCAGGGUAGCAAUUAGGACGAGCAGUGGUUGUAGGUGCAGGGGUGGUUGGGCGGCACCGAGGAUCUGUGCUUCCAGGGUAACAAUUUGGUGGGGUUGGUGU
Cydia amplana is the source of this 1274-nucleotide long non-coding RNA. RefSeq lists it as uncharacterized. The record is from RefSeq and is a predicted model, not a curated record. The transcript has 9 exons. NCBI's taxonomy places the organism in Eukaryota, Metazoa, Arthropoda, Insecta, Lepidoptera, Tortricidae.